GUUAGAGAACUUGACAACGAGAUCUAUUCACCUCCUGUCUAUCAGCAGAGCAUCCAGGCAUAGUUGGAACCAUGCUGGAAGAGAAGCCCGUGUAGACCUUUUGAAGCUUUUCUCUGCUGCAUGAAACAAUUAGAGAUUCUUGAGGGAGGAGAAAGGGGGAGAGUAACUCUGUUUCAGAUUUAACAGCAUCUAUCUCAGCAUCCCAGGCCAUCCCUAGUAAUAUAGAUUGUCAUACCUACUCCUAUUCUGUCUUUGUCCUCUCAGCACUUUAUUCCAGACAUCAAGGUUUCUCUGAACUGUGGGAAAGGAGACAUACAAGCUUAGAGACAAAAAUCAGACUUAUUCAAGUUAUUACUGGAACACACCAAGGGCAUAAAAAUUUGACACUGGUAAAUUAAGUGUGCUAUUAUUAUCACUUUGGAGGCUUCAGGAUAUGCUGUAUUUACUCUGAUCCUUUUACUUGCAAGUAUGUCUCCUUAAUGCUUUAUGGUAAAUUCACCUAUGGGCUUGUUUUUUCUCUCUUCAAAAAUUAGGCCAGGUUUAGAUUUGCAAAGCUAUCAGAGAGACUGGGAUGAGGAUGAGAUCCCUGAGUGGUGGAAUGUGAAGUUAAAACAACAGGAAAAGUGAUUAGCAUGAGGGGAAGCAGAGAUGUAGAAAAGACUGAGAUGCAGAAAGGUCCAUUACAGGGGAACGCCCAUCAAGAUGUGCAAUACCUCCCAUAAGUGCAUGGAAAAACUUUCAGACUGCUGAGCCUCCUGAUAGUGCUGUCAAUAUAUAGCAGUGAAGCUGUGAUGGCAGGAGAGCUGCUCUCCCCCACAGACUACAUGGCAUUGUAGUACCAUCAGAAGAUACUCCAGUAGGUCAAGCGAUAGAAGUCUGUGGAGUAGAUCUUAAGAGUCUCCUUCUGAGUAUAAGAAUGUGAAUGAUUCCAAAUGAUACAUUGAAAAAAAAAAAAAAAAGUCAUAUUUCUCCUUUCCCUCACCCAAACUAGAAACCUACAUGUACAAGUAACAAUGAGGUUGAAGUUCAGGUGAUUCAGAAAUUCAGAUGACUCAGAAAAAUGUCAGAAUAAAAACUACAUUAUGAUACAGUUCUUAAUGGGAUGCUAUUCUUUCCAAAGGACUUGAAUUUAUUUGGAACACAAGGCCGACAGAGGAUUCCUUAGUCAUUUUGUUUUAUCUGUGGUAUUUAAUAUGUGGUCCCUUACUUAUUUUACUGUGUGUUAUUCAGGCUUGUUUUAAAAGCCAUCUGUUUCCUCCGAAGUAAGGAUGCCAUAUAUUUGUUUUUCUCUGGUAUGUCCUUCAUUUCUGCCCUCUGAAUCUCAUCUGGAUGAUCCUUUAAGGCAGUAAACAGGAUUUUAAACGAGAGUUUGAAAUGGAAAAGCAAGAGGACACAUAUACAACAGCAAAAAGAGUGGCAAAGAAGGAAAUUGCAGGUUUGUCUCUGCUAGAAACUUAUUUGCUGCCAUGCUGAUGGAGAGAUCCAGGCUUGGUGCACAGUCCUAUCAGCCGGUCCAGAGCUAAGCAAUCUCGCACAAGUGAUGGGAACGUUUGAGACAUCGGUCUUAGAUUGUCUUUCUGAUAGCAGGUUCACAGCAUCAUUUCAAAAAGCGCAGCUGUCUUGACAGCUGAGCCAGCCUUUUACUGGGGACAGCAGCAAAAGGCAGGAGAGGGUGGGGGGAGAGAGAAAGCGGGAAGGUGGAAAGAGGAAAAAGCCAGCACACGAGCAGGGAAUUAGCAGUGCGGGCCAGGCUUCACGUUUCGGGGCCCGGUGAGGACACAGCCAGAGCUGGAGGUGUUUGGUCGUGCAGGGCAGGUUGUAGUGGGCGGUACAGAGAUCCGGGGGAUGAAGACCGAAGAGGGUCAGGAUGGAUGUCGGGAUGCGGGGAGAUGCUGUAAGCGGCAACUAUGACGCAAAGCUUGUCCGUUCAGGAUCACGCAUCCAACUGUUCCUCCCUAGUGAUCCCUCAAUAAACAACGUCCAAAAAGGA
This is a long non-coding RNA of Pezoporus occidentalis (night parrot), 1990 nucleotides long. RefSeq lists it as uncharacterized. Lineage: Eukaryota; Metazoa; Chordata; Aves; Psittaciformes; Psittacidae. The record is from RefSeq and is a predicted model, not a curated record. The transcript has 2 exons.